This 328-nucleotide ribosomal RNA is filed under the name uncultured eukaryote. RNAcentral's name for it is "bacterial SSU rRNA". It matches the Rfam family "Eukaryotic small subunit ribosomal RNA", at positions 592 to 912 of the family's 1831-position model. The record is from RNAcentral.
CAAUAGCGUAUAUUAAAGUUGUUGCGGUUAAAAGCUCGUAGUUGGAUUUCUGCUGAGGACGACCGGUCCGCCCUCUGGGUGAGUAUCUGGCUUGGCCUUGGCAUCUUCUUGGAGAACGUAGCUGCACUUGACUGUGUGGUGCGGUAUCCAGGACUUUUACUUUGAGGAAAUUAGAGUGUUUCAAGCAGGCACACGCCUUGAAUACAUUAGCAUGGAAUAAUAAGAUAGGACCUUGGUUCUAUUUUGUUUGGUUUCGUUAGAGCUGAGGUAAGUAGAUUAAUUAAGGGAGUAGUUGGGGGUCGGAUUCGUAUUUAACUUAGUCAGAGGU